AACGAACGCUGGCGGCAUGCCUAACACAUGCAAGUCGAACGAGACCUUCGGGGCUAGUGUCGUACGGGGUCGUAACCGGUGGGAACAUGCCCUUAGGGUUGGAAUAACUCCCCGAAUGGGGUAACAAUACCGGAUAAUGUCUACGGACCAAUGAUUUAUUGCCUUUGGAUGUGCCAUCGUUGGAUUCGCUUGUUGGUAGGCUAAAAGACUACCACGGCGACGAUCCGUAGCUGGUUUGAGAGGAGGGUCAGCCACACUGGGACUGAGAGACGGCCCAGACUCUUACGGGAGGCAGCAGUGGGGGAUAUUGGACAAUGGGGGGAAGGCUGAACCAGCACUGCCGCGUGAGUGAUGAAGGCCGUAGGGUUGUAAAGCUCUUUUACCCGGGAUGAUAAUGACGGUACCGGGAGAAUAAGCUCCGGCUAACUCCGUG
This 433-nucleotide ribosomal RNA is filed under the name uncultured bacterium. RNAcentral describes it as "partial 16S ribosomal RNA". It matches the Rfam family "Bacterial small subunit ribosomal RNA", at positions 29 to 507 of the family's 1533-position model. The record is from RNAcentral.